GGGCUUGGCCCUCGCGAUGCAUCUAGAUUAGAGUUUGAUCCUGGCUCAGAUUGAACGCUGGCGGCAGGCCUAACACAUGCAAGUCGAGCGGUAGCACAGAGAGCUUGCUCUCGGGUGACGAGCGGCGGACGGGUGAGUAAUGUCUGGGAAACUGCCUGAUGGAGGGGGAUAACUACUGGAAACGGUAGCUAAUACCGCAUAACGUCGCAAGACCAAAGUGGGGGACCUUCGGGCCUCAUGCCAUCAGAUGUGCCCAGAUGGGAUUAGCUAGUAGGUGGGGUAACGGCUCACCUAGGCGACGAUCCCUAGCUGGUCUGAGAGGAUGACCAGCCACACUGGAACUGAGACACGGUCCAGACUCCUACGGGAGGCAGCAGUGGGGAAUAUUGCACAAUGGGCGCAAGCCUGAUGCAGCCAUGCCGCGUGUGUGAAGAAGGCCUUCGGGUUGUAAAGCACUUUCAGCGGGGAGGAAGGCGGUGAGGUUAAUAACCUCACCGAUUGACGUUACCCGCAGAAGAAGCACCGGCUAACUCCGUGCCAGCAGCCGCGGUAAUACGGAGGGUGCAAGCGUUAAUCGGAAUUACUGGGCGUAAAGCGCACGCAGGCGGUCUGUCAAGUCGGAUGUGAAAUCCCCGGGCUCAACCUGGGAACUGCAUUCGAAACUGGCAGGCUAGAGUCUUGUAGAGGGGGGUAGAAUUCCAGGUGUAGCGGUGAAAUGCGUAGAGAUCUGGAGGAAUACCGGUGGCGAAGGCGGCCCCCUGGACAAAGACUGACGCUCAGGUGCGAAAGCGUGGGGAGCAUACAGGAUUAGAUACCCUGGUAGUCCACGCUGUAAACGAUGUCGAUUUGGAGGUUGUGCCCUUGAGGCGUGGCUUCCGGAGCUAACGCGUUAAAUCGACCGCCUGGGGAGUACGGCCGCAAGGUUAAAACUCAAAUGAAUUGACGGGGGCCCGCACAAGCGGUGGAGCAUGGUGGUUUAAUUCGAUGCAACGCGAAGAACCUUACCUGGUCUUGACAUCCACAGAACUUUCCAGAGAUGGAUUGGUGCCUUCGGGAACUGUGAGACAGGUGCUGCAUGGCUGUCGUCAGCUCGUGUUGUGAAAUGUUGGGUUAAGUCCCGCAACGAGCGCAACCCUUAUCCUUUGUUGCCAGCGGUUAGGCCGGGAACUCAAAGGAGACUGCCAGUGAUAAACUGGAGGAAGGUGGGGAUGACGUCAAGUCAUCAUGGCCCUUACGACCAGGGCUACACACGUGCUACAAUGGCAUAUACAAAGAGAAGCGACCUCGCGAGAGCAAGCGGACCUCAUAAAGUAUGUCGUAGUCCGGAUUGGAGUCUGCAACUCGACUCCAUGAAGUCGGAAUCGCUAGUAAUCGUAGAUCAGAAUGCUACGGUGAAUACGUUCCCGGGCCUUGUACACACCGCCCGUCACACCAUGGGAGUGGGUUGCAAAAGAAGUAGGUAGCUUAACCUUCGGGAGGGCGCUUACCACUUUGUGAUUCAUGACUGGGGUGAAGUCGUAACAAGGUAGCCGUAA
Molecule: ribosomal RNA, 1535 nt
Filed under: Klebsiella pneumoniae
Lineage: Bacteria; Pseudomonadati; Pseudomonadota; Gammaproteobacteria; Enterobacterales; Enterobacteriaceae
Description: bacterial SSU rRNA
Rfam family: Bacterial small subunit ribosomal RNA
Source: RNAcentral